UGCAUACAUGACUGUAAGUCACUUUGGAUAAAAGCAUCUGCUCAAUGGCUUAUA
Non-coding RNA from Salmo salar (Atlantic salmon), 54 nucleotides. The record is from Rfam. NCBI's taxonomy places the organism in Eukaryota, Metazoa, Chordata, Actinopteri, Salmoniformes, Salmonidae.